UACGUAGGGUGCGAGCGUUGUCCGGAAUUAUUGGGCGUAAAGAGCUCGUAGGCGGUGUGUCGCGUCGGUCGUGAAAACUUUCAGCUUAACUGGGAGCUUGCGGUCGAUACGGGCAUCACUGGAGUUCGGCAGGGGAGACUGGAAUUCCUGGUGUAGCGGUGAAAUGCGCAGAUAUCAGGAGGAACACCGGUGGCGAAGGCGGGUCUCUGGGCCGAUACUGACACUGAGGAGCGAAAGCGUGGGGAGCGAACAGG
Molecule: ribosomal RNA, 254 nt
Filed under: uncultured bacterium
Lineage: Bacteria
Description: partial 16S ribosomal RNA
Rfam family: Bacterial small subunit ribosomal RNA
Source: RNAcentral